UGGGGAAUAGCCAAACGGCAAGGCAACGGGUUUUGGUCCCGUGACUGGAGGUUCGAAUCCUCCUUCCCCAGCCA
This 74-nucleotide transfer RNA is filed under the name Actinomycetota bacterium. RNAcentral's name for it is "Actinobacteria bacterium (freshwater metagenome) tRNA-Gln". It matches the Rfam family "tRNA". Rfam says of the family: Transfer RNA (tRNA) molecules are approximately 80 nucleotides in length. Their secondary structure includes four short double-helical elements and three loops (D, anti-codon, and T loops). Lineage: Bacteria; Bacillati; Actinomycetota. The record is from RNAcentral.